Molecule: ribosomal RNA, 497 nt
Filed under: uncultured bacterium
Lineage: Bacteria
Description: partial 16S ribosomal RNA
Rfam family: Bacterial small subunit ribosomal RNA
Source: RNAcentral
GAUGAACGCUGGCGGCGUGCCUAAUACAUGCAAGUCGAGCGAACAGACGAGGAGCUUGCUCCUCUGACGUUAGCGGCGGACGGGUGAGUAACACGUGGAUAACCUACCUAUAAGACUGGGAUAACUUCGGGAAACCGGAGCUAAUACCGGAUAAUAUAUUGAACCGCAUGGUUCAAUAGUGAAAGACGGUUUUGCUGUCACUUAUAGAUGGAUCCGCGCCGCAUUAGCUAGUUGGUAAGGUAACGGCUUACCAAGGCAACGAUGCGUAGCCGACCUGAGAGGGUGAUCGGCCACACUGGAACUGAGACACGGUCCAGACUCCUACGGGAGGCAGCAGUAGGGAAUCUUCCGCAAUGGGCGGAGGCCUGACGGAGCAACGCCGCGUGAGUGAUGAAGGUCUUCGGAUCGUAAAACUCUGUUAUUAGGGAAGAACAAAUGUGUAAGUAACUAUGCACGUCUUGACGGUACCUAAUCAGAAAGCCACGGCUAACUACGUG